RNAcentral lists this ribosomal RNA (498 nucleotides) under uncultured bacterium. Its description in RNAcentral is "partial 16S ribosomal RNA". It matches the Rfam family "Bacterial small subunit ribosomal RNA", at positions 28 to 507 of the family's 1533-position model. The record is from RNAcentral.
GACGAACGCUGGCGGCGUGCCUAAUACAUGCAAGUCGAGCGAAGUUUUUCUGGUGCUUGCACUAGAAAAACUUAGCGGCGAACGGGUGAGUAACACGUAAAGAACCUGCCUCAUAGACUGGGACAACUAUUGGAAACGAUAGCUAAUACCGGAUAACAGUAUUUCUCGCAUGAGAGAUAUUUAAAAGUUGGUUAUGCUAACACUAUGAGAUGGCUUUGCGGUGCAUUAGCUAGUUGGUGGGGGAAAGGCCCACCAAGGCGACGAGGCAUAGCCGACCUGGGAGGUUGAUCGGCCCCCCUGGGCCUGAGACACGGCCCAGCCUCCUCCGGAGGCAGCAGUAGGGAAUCUUCCGCAAUGGGCGAAAGCCUGACGGAGCAACGCCGCGUGAGUGAAGAAGGAUUUCGGUUCGUAAAGCUCUGUUGUUAGGGAAGAAUGGAUAUGUAGUAACUAUACAUGUAAGAGACGGUACCUAACCAGAAAGCCACGGCUAACUACGUG